Molecule: ribosomal RNA, 573 nt
Filed under: Phomopsis sp. XA242
Lineage: Eukaryota; Fungi; Ascomycota; Sordariomycetes; Diaporthales; Diaporthaceae
Description: eukaryotic LSU rRNA
Rfam family: 5.8S ribosomal RNA (bases 232-385)
Source: RNAcentral
GAGGAAGUAAAAGUCGUAACAAGGUCUCCGUUGGUGAACCAGCGGAGGGAUCAUUGCUGGAACGCGCCCCAGGCGCACCCAGAAACCCUUUGUGAACUUAUACCUUACUGUUGCCUCGGCGCAUGCCGGCCCCCCUGGGGGCCCCUCCUUCUGGAGGAGCAGGCACGCCGGCGGCCAACCUAACUCUUGUUUUUACACUGAAACUCUGAGAAUAAAACAUAAAUGAAUCAAAACUUUCAACAACGGAUCUCUUGGUUCUGGCAUCGAUGAAGAACGCAGCGAAAUGCGAUAAGUAAUGUGAAUUGCAGAAUUCAGUGAAUCAUCGAAUCUUUGAACGCACAUUGCGCCCUCUGGUAUUCCGGAGGGCAUGCCUGUUCGAGCGUCAUUUCAACCCUCAAGCCUGGCUUGGUGAUGGGGCACUGCCUGUAAAAGGGCAGGCCCUGAAAUUCAGUGGCGAGCUCGCCAGGACCCCGAGCGCAGUAGUUAAACCCUCGCUCUGGAAGGCCCUGGCGGUGCCCUGCCGUUAAACCCCCAACUUCUGAAAAUUGACCUCGGAUCAGGUACGAAACUCCU